RNAcentral lists this long non-coding RNA (1697 nucleotides) under Mytilus galloprovincialis (Mediterranean mussel). Lineage: Eukaryota; Metazoa; Mollusca; Bivalvia; Mytilida; Mytilidae. The record is from RNAcentral.
CAACGAUUUCUAUCUGCUUUCAAUGUGUUGUUGUUCUAAUCAGCCAUUAACUGCUAACCUUUCAUUUCCUUUGUUGAAAAUGUAAGCAAUGAUUUUCUUUUGAUUGGUUUGAAGAUAUCGGUUGACUUUUGAAUAAGCCGUUCAGUAAUGAAAUAUUCUGAUGCCAACUUUCCCUAUUCAUACGCAUUUAGAAGGUCGCACAAUAGUUCCGAAGAAGCAACAGUACCCGAGGACAAUCCAGAUAACUGCUCAGAUGUUUUAAAUGGAUUUGUCCAGCUUUGCAGUGUCUGAACCUAUUUUUAAAACGUCAGUUUCAUCUCGCUUCAUUCGAGUUUUCCUAAGUUUGUUUUCUGCGGAUGUUUCAGUGUUAACCAUUCCUGCCAAAUCCCGACAUUUUGACGAUAUUGAGGCUCUAUCAUGUGCAUUUAACAAAACAACGUUUAACAGAACCUUUAUUUAAACUGAAACCAACAAUGCCACCUCUUGUUUUGGUAUCUCUGUUCAACGUUUGCUCGAUUGUUGGGUCAACUGAAGAUCUAGAAAAUCUCUGAACACAAAAACCACCAGAUGAAAUAUAUACAUGAGCAUCAGGAUGGGUAUUUGGCAAAUUUUGCAUAUGAAGCAAAUGGAAUGACGUGUAUCGGGAAGGGUUUUGACGGCCAUAUGCAAAGAACCAUGGUGACAUUUUUUCAGUACAUGCCAAAUGAAGAUCCCAAUUACCUCCCCUGUUGCACUUGUAAACAACAAUACAAGUUCCAUCAUUUAUAGGUUAGGUUUCAAAAAUUCGGCCGAUUUUGCAUAAGAAGCAAAUACACUGACAUGUACAGAUAGAGAUCAACAAACUGAAUGCGAACAAAGCAACAAAAUUAGUUGACAGUAUGUACAAAAUUUAUAAAACGAGAGUAAAUUCAUUUAAUACUGAAGCAAAAUAUACAAGUAAAUAGGAAAAAAAAAUAAUGAAAAAUAAAGUUGAGAAUUGAAAUGGGGAAUGUGUCAAAGAGACAACAACCCGACCAUAGAGCAGACAACAGCAGAAGGUCACCAACAGGACUUCAAUGCAACGAGAAAUUCCCGCACCCGGAGGCGUCCUUCAGCUGGCCCCUUAACAAAUAUAUACAAGUUCAGUGAUAAUGAACGCCAUACUAAACUCCAAAUAGUACACAAGAAACUAAAAGUUAAAAUCAUAGAAGACUAACAAAGGCCAGAGGCUGCUGACUUGGGACAGGCGCAAAAGUGCGGCGGGGUUAAACAUGUUUGUGAGAUCUCAACCCUCCCCUAUACCUCUAGCCAAUGCAGAAAAGUAAAUGCAUAACAAUAAGCACAUUAAAAUUCAGUUCAAGAGAAGUCCGAGUCUGAUGUCAGAAGAUGUAACCAAAGAAAAUAAACAAAAUGACAAUAAUACAUAAAUAACAUCAGACUACUAGCAGUUAACUGACAAGCUAGGUCCAGACUUCAAUUAAACUGAUUAAAAAAUUAUGUCUUCAUCAUAUGAAUAUUAGGCACAAUCCUCCCGUGAGGGGUUUAGUAUCAUACCAUCAUAACAUAUAUGAGAAGAACAUAACCCGUGUCAUGUCAACAACUGGUUUAUUAAUAAUAAAUGUGUUUAGUUCCGAUGCAAAGACCCUAUAAGUGAAUCAAUAUUAACGCCAAAAUAUGCAAUCUUUAAUGACCUGACAACAGUAUCGUAACUAUAUCCC